UAACGCGUGGGCAACCUGCCUUAUACAGGGGGAUAACAGCUGGAAACAGCUGCUAAUACCGCAUAAGCGCACAGUGCUGCAUGGUACAGUGUGAAAAACUGAGGUGGUAUAAGAUGGGCCCGCGUCUGAUUAGCUGGUUGGGAGGGUAACGGCCUACCAAGGCGACGAUCAGUAGCCGGCCUGAGAGGGCGGACGGCCACAUUGGGACUGAGACACGGCCCAGACUCCUACGGAAGGCAGCAG
Molecule: ribosomal RNA, 243 nt
Filed under: uncultured bacterium
Lineage: Bacteria
Description: partial 16S ribosomal RNA
Rfam family: Bacterial small subunit ribosomal RNA
Source: RNAcentral